This 516-nucleotide ribosomal RNA is filed under the name Nemesia meridionalis. RNAcentral describes it as "partial 16S ribosomal RNA". It matches the Rfam family "Bacterial large subunit ribosomal RNA", at positions 1843 to 2713 of the family's 2925-position model. The record is from RNAcentral. Lineage: Eukaryota; Metazoa; Arthropoda; Arachnida; Araneae; Nemesiidae.
UUAUCGUUAGUAAGGCCUGCUCAAUGUAAAAUAAAUAGCCGCAGAACAUUCCUGUGCUAAGGUAGCAUAAUAAUUUGCCUUUUAAUUAAAGGCUAGCAUGAAAGGUAUCACAUAUUGAUAACUUUAUUAACCAAAUAAAUUGAACUUACUUUUUAGUAAAAAAGCUAAAAUUCCUCAAGAGGACGACAAGACCCUGACAAACUUUACAAUUUCGUUUUACUGGGGGGGUUAAAAAACUUUAUCUUUUCAAUUUUAAAUAACAGAAAUUUUUCUAUAAUUCAUACAAGUUACUGCAGGGAUAACAGCAUAAUUUUUUCCUAAAGAUCUUAUCCAAGAAAAAGUUUGUGACCUCGAUGUUGAAUUAGAAAUCUAUAUUGGAGCAAAAUCCUUACAAGUAAGUCUGUUCGACUUUUAAUAUUCUACAUGAUUUGAGUUCAGACCGGCGUAAGCCAGGUCGGUUUCUAUCUCUUUUUUGAAUUUUCAGUACGAAAGGAUCAAAAUUCUUAUUUUUAAUUU